RNAcentral lists this long non-coding RNA (286 nucleotides) under Lathyrus oleraceus (garden pea). Its description in RNAcentral is "Pisum sativum (pea) long non-coding RNA (PSAT_LNC017931)". The record is from RNAcentral. Lineage: Eukaryota; Viridiplantae; Streptophyta; Magnoliopsida; Fabales; Fabaceae.
AUUUUUGGACAGAGGGAGUAAUAACGAUUAAUAACUAGAAUUCAUACAAUCGAUCAAAAGAAUACAUGUGAUAUAGGUUAAUUAAAUAUAAUCUUGACAAGCUUACCUAUCUAUUAUUUUACCAAAUAUCUAUCUUUUUUCAAUUACUUUAAAUUAAGUAGUCGGUUAUUCACUAAAACAUUAACUUAAAACCCUAUUAAUUGUUGAACGACAGUGAUAUCGCACCAGUCCAUGUGGAUAAGAUAUGAACAAUACUUACUUUUGAUUACUAAACAUCAACACCUUC